UACGUAGGGUGCGAGCGUUGUCCGGAAUUAUUGGGCGUAAAGAGCUCGUAGGCGGUUUGUCGCGUCGACUGUGAAAACCUGGGGCUUAACUCUGGGCCUGCAGUCGAUACGGGCAGACUUGAGUUCGGUAGGGGAGACUGGAAUUCCUGGUGUAGCGGUGAAAUGCGCAGAUAUCAGGAGGAACACCGGUGGCGAAGGCGGAUCUCUGGGCCAUUACUGACGCUGAGGAGCGAAAGCGUGGGGAGCGAACAGG
Molecule: ribosomal RNA, 253 nt
Filed under: uncultured bacterium
Lineage: Bacteria
Description: partial 16S ribosomal RNA
Rfam family: Bacterial small subunit ribosomal RNA
Source: RNAcentral